GCUCGCUUAGCUCAGUUGGUUAGAGCGUGGUGCUAAUAACGCCAAGGUCACAGGUUCGAUCCCUGUAGUGAGCU
This 74-nucleotide transfer RNA is filed under the name Rhizomucor miehei CAU432. Its description in RNAcentral is "tRNA-Ile (AAT) (tRNA-Ile-AAT-2-1)". It matches the Rfam family "tRNA". Rfam says of the family: Transfer RNA (tRNA) molecules are approximately 80 nucleotides in length. Their secondary structure includes four short double-helical elements and three loops (D, anti-codon, and T loops). The record is from RNAcentral. Lineage: Eukaryota; Fungi; Mucoromycota; Mucoromycetes; Mucorales; Lichtheimiaceae.